GCAUUGAACACUGAUAGUGCAGAAUCCACA
This 30-nucleotide non-coding RNA is filed under the name Homo sapiens (human). Lineage: Eukaryota; Metazoa; Chordata; Mammalia; Primates; Hominidae. The record is from RNAcentral.